GCAUCUGGUAGCAGACGUACAGAAAACAACAUUGUAUUGUGUGUAUUCAUUUGAUUGUAUGUUAGUAGUACUGCAUUUAUACAUUAAUUCAGACAAUGAAUCAACCAGGCCAACUGAAAUUUACAUUGGCCACUGAGAAGAGAAAACAACAACUUGAAGGUAGCUGACUACUGAAAGAAUCUUGCUGACUCACAUCUCACAUCCAGCAGUAUUGGUGUAGACAUGCCUUGUCCCAGACCACAGGAGUUGCACCCAGUGUCAUUAGAGGAAAGUGGACCUAGGCGAUACUGCCCACCAGGGAGUGGGUGGCCAUCUUCAAACCAGGGAUGCAAACGAGUCACCUUUUUGCGAAAUUUGUCGUUUUGAAUCCAAAAUAGGUGACCUUUGUGAUUUGUGUAGAUUCGAUGAGAAAAGUUUUGGGGGGUUGGAUCACUACUGGCUGUAAGCAAACGAGUGAUGCACAUUUGGAGCAAUACUGGCUGUAUCCAAGGCUCAGUCAAUCGUUUACAUAACAACAGAAUGCAGCAUUUCCCAAGUGCAAUAUUUAUGUGUGUGGUUACAAGCGUUCUAUUAUGAAGGCUAUCAGGGUUAACUGCAAUAUUAGUGUAUUGUUUUUUUUCUCAAGACUUGAGUGUCAUUUGCAGUAAAGCCUAGGCAACAAAUAAGACUGGAUUGCUUUCUUUACAUUUUUUAGCUGUGAGUUAUGUUCACAUUCUUCACUUUUUAUUUUACACACAGAAACGGGUCAUGCAGAUCAUAUUCUUUGUUGUUUAACCAGUUAAAACCUGCAUUUCCCCCUAGCAGGGAGGUUUUGCAUGUUUCACUAGUUAAAACCUGCAUUUCCCCCUAGCAGGGAGGUUUUGCAUGUUUCAUUAGUUAAAACCUGCAUUUCCCCCUAGCAGGGAGAUUUUGCAUGUUUCAUUAGUUAAAACCUGCAUGUCCCCCUAGCAGGGAGGUUUUGCAUGUUUCAUUAGUUAAAACCUGCAUUUCCCCCUAGCAGGGAGGUUUUGCAUGUUUCAUUAGUUAAAACCUGCAUUUCCCCCUAGCAGGGAGGUUUUGCAUGUUUCAUUAGU
Oncorhynchus tshawytscha (Chinook salmon) is the source of this 1073-nucleotide long non-coding RNA. RefSeq lists it as uncharacterized. The record is from RefSeq and is a predicted model, not a curated record. Lineage: Eukaryota; Metazoa; Chordata; Actinopteri; Salmoniformes; Salmonidae. The transcript has 2 exons.